UUUCUUCUUCAGAUUUUAGAUCUACAUAUAGAAAAAAAACUCAUGGAUCUGAUUUGCUUUCUCUUUUAUAUUUCUUCCCAGAUCUGUGACGAAGUGGAUACACAUCGGAAGUUGCGACGAAUGGUGGUGGAUCUUCUUUUGUCCUCGACACAUCUUUUCCAAUUUGUUCACGUCUUUGAUUCGGAAAGUGAAAGACAAAAAAAGAAGCUAGAUGCGGGAGGAGGCGUGACAGGAGUGGUGUUCGAAGGAAGGAGCACUAGAGGUGGAGAUGACGAUGAAUCUACCAGAAAGUGAAAGCUUAAACUUUUUCAAUAGGAAAAUUCUGUAAUUUCAGUGAUCUAAUAGCCAAUUUGGCUCAACAUUUUCUUGUUUGUUAAAAGCAAAAUUUGCUUCCUUGUAGUACAAAUUUGAAAAUUUGUUGAUGUAUAAGUAAGUACAUUAGGCACCAUGGUAUGUUGCAGUAAAUUAAUUUACAUCAUAUUUGUUGGA
Long non-coding RNA from Brassica oleracea var. oleracea, 489 nucleotides. RefSeq lists it as uncharacterized. Lineage: Eukaryota; Viridiplantae; Streptophyta; Magnoliopsida; Brassicales; Brassicaceae. The transcript is spliced from 2 exons. The record is from RefSeq and is a predicted model, not a curated record.